Long non-coding RNA from Chelonia mydas (Green sea turtle), 2398 nucleotides. RefSeq lists it as uncharacterized. The transcript is spliced from 4 exons. The record is from RefSeq and is a predicted model, not a curated record. NCBI's taxonomy places the organism in Eukaryota, Metazoa, Chordata, Testudines, Cheloniidae.
GAGCAGGGCUCUGCUUUGAGUUCACAAGUGUUGCUAAGCAAUGGAAAGAGAGGGAGGAGGAGGAGAGUGCAAGAGAGAGAGUCUGACUUUAGGAGUACAAGAAUAAAUGGAAGAUAAUACUAAUGCUCCUACAUAGCCUCAUUUACAGUGAAUGUUAAAAGUACAAAAUAUUUCCUGUCUACCUUGUAAACUACUCGCAGCCUGUGCAAAGACCGCUAAAACGUGGUUCUAUGUCUAAAUCAAUGCACAUCCUGCAAGUACAAAGUAGUGUUGCAUCCUGGAGCACUGACAAAAGCAGUGAGGCACCAGAACUGUUCACAUCUGCCUCUUGACUAAAAAGAAACACAAGAAAGCAGACCUAAGGCAAGCUGGGCUACUGCCAACUGACUCAAGAUUCCCCGCCCCCCCUCUGACAAGGCUGUCAAUAAAUGGACAGAUGGCAUCCGAUGUGCUGGCAGGAUAGUUCAGUUAACAAUCAAGGCUGUUUGUGGUCGUACAAGUUUCUCGGUGGUAUGUUGUAACAACUGAAAAACUCCAGGGCAGGAUUCAUCUCCUAGAUGAGAAAUAGUUUCAGAUUACAGAAGGAAGAGUGGCAAGUUCAUGGCAGUGUGAAGAAGUGCCUUUUUUUAAAAAAAAAAAAAUUGUCCUCUGUCAGAGCGAGAGAGACUGGCAAGGUGAAAGAGAAGAGGGCAUGGAGACAAUUGCACCACAGUUUACAUGGGAGUAGAGAAGACGACGACAGAAACAGCAGCCAAGCCCCCACCAAUUAAAAUUCACCUCAGAGGCCCCUUCAAGCCAAAAAGUUGCAAGGAACAGCUCAAGACAAAAGCAGAAUUCUGUACGCCUAAGACACUGGUAACAUCCACAAAACAGGAAGAAAGGACAGCAAGUGCUGCUCUUAACACUUAUGUUUUAAGAGUGUUUGCACUAGUAACAACCCCCUAAAACCCUUGUCCACCUAAGGAUCCCAAACUGGCUCUCUCCAGACAGGAGUCUGUGUUAAGAAAGAAAGGGGAGGCUUGAAACAGAUUUGAUAAGUCUAAAGCAUGUCACUGCCUAAGGAGCAGCAUCCUCAGCUCUGUCUAUUUGGAGACUUGGCAUAUACAAUAAGAAGAGCUUGUCACUGGCUAUUUGAAAGACAGAAUCAUGCUUAUUAAAUUCUCUACUGGAAGAAAUCAUAUUCCAGCUAUAGCAUCAGAGUAACUCCAAUUAUGCGGAUGUUUUGGGUCUAGAUGGUGUGGCUAAGAGGGCUGUCAUUUUACCUUUAUAAUACACUGUACAGUGAAUGACAGUGUAGAUUGCUAAGACAAAAUGACUCAUCUACACAAUCCCAAGAGGCCACCUAUUACGAAACAGUGGCAAGUAUAAAGAGAAAGAAAGACUGAGCCCAUGUAUUAGAAAUCUGUCAUGGCUUUUCUUGCUUGUGUAUUAAUUUUUCAUGUUAACCUCAAGUUCUGUUAAGCUAGUUAUGUUUACACUCAUUUCACACGGUACCAAAAUAACCUAAGGCAAUUACCUUUGUUUCCAGGAGCUAAUGAAAAAAAGUUUUCAAUGUCCGUUUUGCCUGGCCUCAAAGCUUCUUUGCACUUGAACACCACCUCCAACAACUGCCAAGUUGUGCUUUUUAGUUUGGUUUACAUUACACAGGGAUGAAUCUAUUGUCUCCAUCACAUGGGAUUAAAAGAGUUUAAUCUUUACCCAAGAGAUAAAAGAGCAUUUUAUUCUUAGUCUAUCACUGUUGACUCUCUCCCCCUAUUUUUUUUUUUUUUUAAUAUAUAUAAAGAGAAGGGCCCAACAUGAACUGAGAGCCACUAGUGGUCCAUGACCUCAUGAAACUACUGUGCAAUAUGUAAUGUACUGCAUUUCCUCUUGUAAAAUUGUUACUAUAUCUCCAUCUCUUUUCUGUGCAAUAUUACCAAGGGGCUACAGAGUAGCAUCUCAGUUUCCUUCUUCAGGUGCGAUGGGUCUCCCUGUUUUUUUGAGUUUGGGAUUUGGAAGAUACCACUGCAUACUGUCUUGCUUCCCCUUUCAUUAUAAGCACCCCAUAGAAAAGCUUGUCAUCCAGCAGUCUCAGACAGAUAUCCCAAGUAACAAAAAUCCAUUUAAACACACCACUGUUGUACAUUUACUGAAGAAUUUCUAUUAGUAUUGAUACAAUCAUUUGUAAACCAAAUCACAAGAUGAAAGCAGAAUUCAUCCGGCAGAACAGAAGCUUCUUCAUCAGGAAGCAGAACAAAAUUUCACCUUGUGCUUUAAACACAUGCAAAGUCUGUAAAGCGUUCUACAUACCUUUGCUAUUUUACAAUACUGAGCUGAGGUUGUCUAUUGCCUAACUGUCUCUCUAGCUCUACUUCAGAUGAAGCCAGAAGAAUACCAGAACAACAUUACCAACUAGGAA